Long non-coding RNA from Cygnus atratus (black swan), 309 nucleotides. RefSeq lists it as uncharacterized. The transcript is spliced from 3 exons. Lineage: Eukaryota; Metazoa; Chordata; Aves; Anseriformes; Anatidae. The record is from RefSeq and is a predicted model, not a curated record.
UGCACCUUGAGGCAAGCCACUGAAUCUGUGAUAUAUUUGAUGAAAACUACUCCCGACCCUCAUCAUCCCCGAGGUUCCCUCCUCCGUGACGCACCUUGUUGCACUUCACACAGUGGAUCGGCUGCAGGGUGGCGUUCCCCUGAUGGAGCAGAUGUGGCCCAGAGACACUUGGGAUUCAUUGCAGAGGGUCAGCAGACAAAGAGGCGAGCCACAGAGGGCUUCCUUGGAUUCACAGAAGCUUGUGCUGUUCCUGACCCACAUGGGCCAUGGUGGAUGUACAGCUAGUUCAGCUUGCCACUGAGGACAAUU